Molecule: ribosomal RNA, 758 nt
Filed under: uncultured bacterium
Lineage: Bacteria
Description: bacterial SSU rRNA
Rfam family: Bacterial small subunit ribosomal RNA
Source: RNAcentral
GGAAUACGGUUGGGGAAGACAGAAUUCCUGGUGUAGCGGUGGAAUGCGCAGAGAUCAGGAGGAAUACCAAAAGCGAAGGCAGUCUUCUAAGCCGUUAUUGACGCUAAACUGCGAAGGUGUGGGUAUCAAACAGGAUUAGAUACCCUGGUAGUCCACACAGUAGACGAUAAUCACUAGGUGUCGGGUUCGAAGAGGAUUCGGUGCCGCAGCUAACGCGUUAAGUGAUUCGCCUGGGGAGUACGAUCGCAAGGUUGAAACUCAAAGGAAUUGACGGGAACCCGCACAAGCGGUGGAGUAUGUUGUUUAAUUCGAAGAUACACGAAGAACCUUACCAGGUCUUGACAUACCAUUGACAGGUCUAGAGAUAGACCCUCCUUCGGGCAAUGGAUACAGGUGGUGCAUGGUUGUCGUCAGCUCGUGCCGUGAGGUGUUGGGUUAAGUCCCGCAACGAGCGCAACCCUCAUUGUUAGUUACUACCAUUCAGUUGAGGACUCUAAUGAGACUGCCAACGACAAGUUGGAGGAAGGUGGGGAUGACGUCAAAUCAUCAUGCCCUUUAUGACCUGGGCUACAAACGUACUACAAUGGCCAAUACAAAGAGAUGCGAAGCGGUGACGUGGAGCGAACCUCAGAAAGUUGGUCUCAGUUCAGAUUGAAGUCUGCAACUCGACUUCAUGAAGGCGGAAUCGCUAGUAAUCGCGAGUCAGCAGAUCGCGGUGAAUACGUUCCCGGGUUUUGUACACACCGCCCGUAAGGGCG